This 1372-nucleotide ribosomal RNA is filed under the name uncultured bacterium. RNAcentral describes it as "bacterial SSU rRNA". It matches the Rfam family "Bacterial small subunit ribosomal RNA", at positions 28 to 1381 of the family's 1533-position model. The record is from RNAcentral.
GAUGAACGCUGGCGGCGUGCCUAAUACAUGCAAGUCGAGCGAACGGACGAGAAGCUUGCUUCUCUGAUGUUAGCGGCGGACGGGUGAGUAACACGUGGAUAACCUACCUAUAAGACUGGGAUAACUUCGGGAAACCGGAGCUAAUACCGGAUAAUAUUUUGAACCGCAUGGUUCAAAAGUGAAAGACGGUCUUGCUGUCACUUAUAGAUGGAUCCGCGCUGCAUUAGCUAGUUGGUAAGGUAACGGCUUACCAAGGCAACGAUGCAUAGCCGACCUGAGAGGGUGAUCGGCCACACUGGAACUGAGACACGGUCCAGACUCCUACGGGAGGCAGCAGUAGGGAAUCUUCCGCAAUGGGCGAAAGCCUGACGGAGCAACGCCGCGUGAGUGAUGAAGGUCUUCGGAUCGUAAAACUCUGUUAUUAGGGAAGAACAUAUGUGUAAGUAACUGUGCACAUCUUGACGGUACCUAAUCAGAAAGCCACGGCUAACUACGUGCCAGCAGCCGCGGUAAUACGUAGGUGGCAAGCGUUAUCCGGAAUUAUUGGGCGUAAAGCGCGCGUAGGCGGUUUUUUAAGUCUGAUGUGAAAGCCCACGGCUCAACCGUGGAGGGUCAUUGGAAACUGGAAAACUUGAGUGCAGAAGAGGAAAGUGGAAUUCCAUGUGUAGCGGUGAAAUGCGCAGAGAUAUGGAGGAACACCAGUGGCGAAGGCGACUUUCUGGUCUGUAACUGACGCUGAUGUGCGAAAGCGUGGGGAUCAAACAGGAUUAGAUACCCUGGUAGUCCACGCCGUAAACGAUGAGUGCUAAGUGUUAGAGGGUUUCCGCCCCUUAGUGCUGCAGCUAACGCAUUAAGCACUCCGCCUGGGGAGUACGACCGCAAGGUUGAAACUCAAAGGAAUUGACGGGGACCCGCACAAGCGGUGGAGCAUGUGGUUUAAUUCGAAGCAACGCGAAGAACCUUACCAAAUCUUGACAUCCUUUGACAACUCUAGAGAUAGAGCUUUCCCCUUCGGGGGACAAAGUGACAGGUGGUGCAUGGUUGUCGUCAGCUCGUGUCGUGAGAUGUUGGGUUAAGUCCCGCAACGAGCGCAACCCUUAAGCCUAUUUGCCAUCAUUAAGUUGGGCACUCUAAGUUGACUGCCGGUGACAAACCGGAGGAAGGUGGGGAUGACGUCAAAUCAUCAUGCCCCUUAUGAUUUGGGCUACACACGUGCUACAAUGGACAAUACAAAGGGCAGCGAAACCGCGAGGUCAAGCAAAUCCCAUAAAGUUGUUCUCAGUUCGGAUUGUAGUCUGCAACUCGACUACAUGAAGCUGGAAUCGCUAGUAAUCGUAGAUCAGCAUGCUACGGUGAAUACGUUCCCGGGUCU